CUCAUUCUGUUUCCAUUCAUCCUUCUUUUCUUAGCCAAACAAAAAGGAAAAAAUAAAUAGUGUUGGUGAUUUAAAAAAAAACACAAAUCUCUAUUUUUCUAUUAGAUUUAAGGUCCCAUUCAAGAAGUGUUAGGAAGAAAAGUUGCUCUCCUCUACAAGGUGGUGAUUGUGAGCUAAUUUAUUUGAGGGUACAAGGAAAUUGCGAGGUGUCAUUGGAAUCGUCAGAUAAGUUAUGCUGGCGUAACGUAAUUUUCUUGUGUAAUAAAGCACUGCCGAGGUUCUUAGAGUUUUGAGUCGUACUAGAAUUUCAACAACGUCGAAGACGUGACAUAGCGAUAAUUUUGGAUUGGUAAUCGGAAGCAAUGAGGCUUGAUGCCACUCGUGGAUCCUCGGUUAGAUUAAUGAUCAGCUUAGGGUUUUAUUUAAGAAUUUUAUUUAUUCUCUCUUCCUUAUUGCAAUGAUGUUGUUGCAAUGGAAUUUAUGUAUUUGAACCAAUUGGUAAUUUUUUUUAGUCAAUAUGAAUUGUUUGGUUGUAAGUAAGUCUGU
Cicer arietinum (chickpea) is the source of this 546-nucleotide long non-coding RNA. RefSeq lists it as uncharacterized. Lineage: Eukaryota; Viridiplantae; Streptophyta; Magnoliopsida; Fabales; Fabaceae. The record is from RefSeq and is a predicted model, not a curated record.